RNAcentral lists this transfer-messenger RNA (360 nucleotides) under Desulfobulbaceae bacterium. It matches the Rfam family "transfer-messenger RNA". Rfam says of the family: Bacterial tmRNA, also known as 10Sa RNA or SsrA, is named for its dual tRNA and mRNA-like properties. Its role is to liberate the mRNA from a stalled ribosome. The record is from RNAcentral. RNAcentral also lists the same sequence under 1 other name. Lineage: Bacteria; Pseudomonadati; Thermodesulfobacteriota; Desulfobulbia; Desulfobulbales; Desulfobulbaceae.
GGGGGUGAAACGGCUUCGACGGGGAUAUAUAAGCUCGGGCUGCAUGUCGAGAAUUCUACAACUCUCGUAAAAAACUGUAGAACUUUAAAAUAGUCGCAGAUGACUAUUCAUAUGCUGUGGCAGCAUAAAUAAGCCACUGCUCUCCCUUGUUAUUCCUGCGGACUUGGGUUGGGCAUCGACUAGCGGGAUAGCUUACGGAUUCUUUGGUGGUCCUGAUAGCGAAACUUUACACCAGAUAGUGCUAACAGUACCUAGUCCUGGUGGUACCAAGGCACGAUAAGAACUUAAGCAGGAAUAAACAUGUAGACGCCUGAAGGGGAGUAUUUUCGGACCCGGGUUCAACUCCCGGCACCUCCACCA